UACGGAGGGUGCGAGCGUUGUCCGGAAUCACUGGGCGUAAAGGGCGCGUAGGCGGCUCGUGAAGUCAGUGGUGAAAGCCCAGGGCUCAACUCUGGGUCGGCCACUGAUAUUCGCGAGCUCGAGUUUGGUAGAGGCAGAUGGAAUUCCGGGUGUAGCGGUGGAGUGCGUAGAGAUCCGGAAGAACACCGGUGGCGAAGGCGGUCUGCUGGGCCAAGACUGACGCUGAGGCGCGACAGCGUGGGGAGCAAACAGG
This 253-nucleotide ribosomal RNA is filed under the name uncultured bacterium. RNAcentral describes it as "partial 16S ribosomal RNA". It matches the Rfam family "Bacterial small subunit ribosomal RNA", at positions 524 to 776 of the family's 1533-position model. The record is from RNAcentral.